UGGGGAAUAUUGGACAAUGGGGGGAACCCUGAUCCAGCCAUGCCGCGUGUGUGAAGAAGGCCUUAUGGUUGUAAAGCACUUUAAGCGAGGAGGAGGGUACUGGUAUUAAUACUACCAGCUACUGGACGUUACUCGCAGAAUAAGCACCGGCUAACUCUGUGCCAGCAGCCGCGGUAAUACAGAGGGUGCAAGCGUUAAUCGGAAUUACUGGGCGUAAAGCGCGCGUAGGUGGUUCGUUAAGUUGAAUGUGAAAGCCCCGGGCUCAACCGGGGAACUGCAUCCAAAAAUGGCGUGCUAGAGUAGGGCAGAGGGUGGUGGAAUUUCCUGUGUAGCGGAGAAAUGCGUAGAUAUAGGAAGGAACACCAGUGGCGAAGGCGAGCACCUGGGCUCAUACUGACACUGAGGUGCGAAAGCGUGGGGAGCAAACAGG
This 430-nucleotide ribosomal RNA is filed under the name Pseudomonadota bacterium. RNAcentral's name for it is "Proteobacteria bacterium partial 16S ribosomal RNA". It matches the Rfam family "Bacterial small subunit ribosomal RNA", at positions 355 to 776 of the family's 1533-position model. Lineage: Bacteria; Pseudomonadati; Pseudomonadota. The record is from RNAcentral.